CUUGAUUCCAUUGGCCAGUAAUUUAGACAAUAAGCUACAUUACUUCCUCAUGCUCGAACAAUUCCCAAGAACUAUUUUAGAGUCCCUGAAACUUGUCACAGAAGGAAUUUGCUCCAUGAGCCAAAUUUACACUGUAUAAUGAAGUGGUAAGUUGCCCUGCCAUUUCCGUAUUUAUUUUAUGAAGAGGUCAGUGGCAAAAAUGAUCAAUGUCAAGAGUCUCCACUCAAAGCAUAUCUGAUGUUACUUAAGGCUGGCUCUGGGUGACAAUAUCACACUUUUCUGGCCUAGGUGGAGGAUUUAGUAAGAUCAGUUAAUUAAUGGCUUUCAUUUUACAAAUCUUUUCUAUAACUAUUACUCAUUCUUUAGUAGACGCUUAUGGAACACCUUCUCCAGGCUUCCUCUAAGUUAGGCAACAGUGUUACAAAGAUGAGUAAGGUGAAGAUAGUAGUCUUAAUAUGCUCACACACUCGUUUGAUCCUGAAAACAACCUGUAAGAUAUGCAGGGCAGAUAUUGUCAUUCCCAUUUUAAAGAGGGAAAAAUGGAAUCUCAGAGAAGUUAAGUGACUUGUUUAGGGCCACACAUCCAGUAAGUGGUAGAACAGUACUUGAAUGCCAGGCUUUACUUCAGUCUAGUUAUCGUUCCAUCAUGUUAACAUAUAUUGAAAACCUGUUGUUUGCCAUAGAACAUGUAUCUUCUCCUCAGCCAACCCUUAUCAUAGACUUUUACUUUAACUUGGCUGCUCAGGAUUUGUAGCCACUUUUUGUGUUUGGAGAAUGCACUGUGAAAUGAGCUUUUAUGGGAGAUGGGUCUCCACUUCUUACUAUGAAAGCCAAAAGGCCCAAACUCUCCCUUUGCGCAUCCCCUGGCAGUUGGGACUCAGGAACGUCAACUAAGCUCAGCCAAUAAGAUAUGUGUCCCUGGAGGUGAGACACCAAAGAACAAAAGAGUGGGGUCAGCCUAGAACUCGUGCUGUGAAGAUGGUGCGUUGGGUGUCCAGCAGUGGCAGAUCCUCAGCCGGGCUGGAUCUUUGGCUGUGAUUCCUUAUGCCUAAUCUUCACUGAUUUUAGACUAUUUUCUGCACUUGGCUUUCAUCCCUUUUAGUCUAUUCUGUGAGCCAUCUAAUUUGCUUUCAAUAAAUUUGUCUGCAAAGUCAGCUUAAGUCAGUUUCUGUUGCUUUCAACCAAGAACUUUGACUAGAAGAGAUCCAUUUUAUAGAUGAAGUAGUGAGUAUUGAUCAGAUUUUGGACAUAUUUUGAAGAGAAAGCUGGCAGAAUUUUUGAAGGAUUGGAUAAGGAGUGUGAGAAAAAGAAGUCAAGGAUGACUUCAGAAUUUUUGGUCUGAAUAACUGAAAGUAAAGCUGCUAUCCGUUCCAGUUCUGUGUUACUACAAACCACUCUCAAAAUAGUGGACUAAGACAACAACCAUUUUUAUUAUCUCCAUUGGCUUUGGCUUUUCACAGCAUAAUGGCUGGGUUUUGAGAAGGUGUGCUCCCUGAGGGCAAACAUUCCAAGAGAACCUCUAAGAAGCUGCAUAGCCUUUUAUGACCCUCAGAACUCACACAGUGUCACUUCCACCGUAUUCUAUGGAUAGAAUUAUUCACAGGCUCAUCCAGACUCAAAGAGGAGGGGACAUUGGAGCCAUGUUUUAAAAUUGUCAUGCUAUUUAUCAGGGAACUCGAAGAAAAGUGGGGAAGAUGGGGAGAGGAACAAGUUGAGAGGGGGAGGUUAUGUGUUUGGACAUCUUAAGUAUAGAUGUCUGUUAGGCGUUCAAGAGGAUAUAUUGGUUCAACUGUGGAAGACCUUGUGAAAAAAGAGGUGCCCCACGGAAGACGCACAUAAAGUCCGACCCCGAGACCUCGGCGCUAAUGCUUACGUCAUGUUGCGGCAGCAUCGGGCAACAACUGAGGGAGUGGAACCAGCAAGGAUGUUUUCAGGGACUGCACAAAAGCCGAUAUGAGACAUGGCCGCUGUGAUUUAUGGGAAUCAGUGUCCCAACUUAGUCAAGUAGAGUGAGUCUUACAAGUCUUUCAGUGUGAUAUCAAUGUAGAUCAUUAAUGGGAAGAAACAUUUUAUAAUAGGAUUGAAUUUAAUGAAUUCUGCGGUAUGUUUCCUCUGUGCGAUGGAGACCUGUCAUUCAAACUCCAAAUGCAACUCAGUGUCUUAGAAAUGAUACUGCCAAGGAGAUAGGACUAGAUGCUGCAGGAACUUUACAGAGAGAACUCGAAGAGGAGCCACAGGUAAGUCUGAGCAAUGGUGCAAUUAACAAACACCUACUGAGUACACCCUGAGAAGGAGUCAGAGUAAAGGACACAAAGCAGUGUGGGACAUGGUGCUCACCCUCAAGGAGCUAACAUUAGUUGGUUACAAGGUACAAAGCAAGAUGAGCUAAAGGCCAAAGUCGCAGCAAAUGCAAGGACUGCCGUCAAUGGUGGGGUUUUUAGGGCAGAGUGGAAGGAGAAGAAUCCUAUGUCAGGAGGAGGAAUUAGGGGCCAGGCAUGCAAGCUUAUUUGAGGGAGGUAGGAUCUGUAGCUGGAUACCAAGACGUUAAAUUAGGGCAAUUUCCAUAUGCACACCAGCUUUUGGCAAUAUCUGUUUUUGAAAGUUUAACAUCUAAGGUAUUAAUCUGAACAAGGUUGGUUAUGUUUUGGUAAUAAGUUAACCCCCAAAUCUCAGUGGUUUAACACCAGAGUUGAUUUGGCUCACUCAAACACUGCUGGGAAUGCAAAAUCAUGAAUAGGUUUCUGAAGAUGCCAUUUUCUAGGAGGCUGUCAGCAAUCUGUUCACGCCAGCUUCUUCCCUCUCUUUCCAUAGCCACUGUCUCCCUCCCAGAGGGACUUAGUCUCUUUUUAUUCAUUGCUACAUUACUGCCUAUUUUAUCUUUUGAGCUUCUUCUGUGUGUCCCCAAACUGGCAGCAGAGGAGGCUAGACUCCUAUUUCCAAGAUCUUGAGGUUAGUCUGAUAAUUGUCUGACUGCUUUUCUGAUAUGACCUGGGUCUUGGGGGGCUGUGGGCUUGCUCAAUCAUGUCCCAACGCUCUUGCUUGGGGGGGCAGCAUCACAAGCCUGAGAUUACGGCUUGUACAUCUGAAGGGUAAUCCCUGGUUACAAAGCAAGGUGAACUCUGGAGUUGGAGUUACUGAGUCCACGUAGGGGCACAUGAGAAGAGGACAGCAAGUGGAAGCUGAGUGGGAGGGGGACUCUGGGGAGUUAGUAUGUGAGGAAGGUCAGUGCAGUCAGAAGGAAAGCAAAUGAGGAGGAUGUCCCUGAAGCAAAAUGCUGGGACCAUUUAAAGGGGCUGCCAGAGAGUUAACUAUGCCCACAACAGUGAAACAGUCCAGGCAUUCAGCAAAAGGAACAUAGGGAAUUACAGAGGUUAAAAAGAAUGACAAAGUUCUCUGGUCCCUUGUCACUCAUCGGUGGCUCAUGAUUCUCUUCUUUAGAUAGUAUCCGGAUCAACCCAACCCUCUUCCUUUUAUUCCAGACUCACUGAACUUACCUCUUCUAUCAUCCCUUCUCCCUGCUGUAGCAUUUGCUAGAUCCAGCCCAUGGAAAAUCCCCUGUCUUAGUUAGGGCUGGAUCAAAGAGUGCAAGUGUGCAGGCCAUGUAGUAUCUCUCACCAGAGGAUCAUUUCUUGGUCUAGGACAUCCAGGUGGGAGGACAUCUCCCAUCUGGAAACCCUCAGCUACCUAUAGGAAAGACCAUUUGGGCCAUUUCCUCUUACAAGCCUUCCCAGUCCAUGUAAUGUUGUCUCCCAAGAAUGAAGUCUUCAAGUAGUUAUUCUGCUCUUGACAUAGUUAAAGGCAGAAAACUUUCUCGUAUAUGUUCCAUUUUGAAAGAUGUAAUGCUUCCAACAGGACAAAACAAAUCUAUGUGGUUAUUUCAGUUUCUGAUUUUCUACUUAACUCUGACUUUUCUCUCUUGUAAGUCACUCAAUCAUCCUCCUUUACUGUCUUCUACACUUCGUUAAAGAUAAUUUCAUGUGUCCCAUUUCUGAGAAAAAUAUCACCAACUGAAUUUCCACCUGAGUUCCCGGCAGGCUUUAUUUACUGAUUAGGUCACAAAGGUUUCUGGAAGCUAAAUCAGACAUAUUAGUGUUUGUGACUAAAGUUGUUUAAGAUCUAUAUCUAUAUAUGUGUGAUAUCUGCUGCAAGAUGAGAAUGAGUUUUAAAUUGAUCUGUAAGUGUUGAACAACUGUGUCCACUGAAACAUUUUAGACAUUUCUUCUGAACUUAUCACUUCAUGUCAUAGGUUGGUCAACUUUCAUAUUUCCUCCAUACCCACUUUUUCCUUUCAAUGUGGUGCAUGAACCCCAGCCAGAACACUCACUUACACAAGAUCAAUAUCCCUGGCACUGAGCAUCUCCUUGGUGUGUGAAUUGAGUCCUUGUAUACUAGGAAUGUCUUUAGAAUUUGUUGAUUUUGGAGUUGAUGUUUGAUUUGUUUCUGAAUCUGUUGUUAGAGCUCAUCCAUUCACUGUCUGUAGAUGCCAGAGAGCUUUAGAAAAUGUAAUUUGAGGACGUAACUUUCAUCACCCAAUAAUGCUGUCGGGCUUUUACAGUAUGGUACCUUUGAGGAGGAAUAAUAGCACCUGGAGCACAUCUGAGUCUGUAUCACUGAAUUGUGUUCCAUAGGUUCUUCUUUGUGGGUCCUUGAAUUACUUGGUGGAUGGGGUAAUAUUGUAAACAGAUGUAGUGGGUUGGAUUGUGGCCCCCAAAAGAUAUGUCCACCUGGAAUGUGACCUUAUUUGUAAUAAGGGUCUUGCAGAUGUAAUUGAGGUAGGGCUCUUGAGAAGAAAUCAUCUUGGAUUAGAGUGGGCCCCAAAUCCGAUGGCAAGGCCUUACAAGAGAAGAGAAGGGGAAACAGAUACAGACACAUAGAGAAGGCCAUGUGAGGAAGGAAGCAAAUUAGAGUUAUGUAGCUAUAAGCCAAGGAAUGCCAAGGGUUGCCAGCAACCACCAGAAGCAGGAGAGGGACAUCGAAUGAUUCUCCCUCAGAACUUCCAGAGGAAAUCAAACUUGCUGAUACCUUGAUUUCAGACUUCUGGCCUCCAGAACUGUGAGGGAAUAAAUUUCUGUUGCUUUAAGCCGCCAAGUUUGUGGUAAUUUAUUAUGACAGCCCUAGGAAACUAAUACAAUGAAGGUUGUCAAAGGAAAUAUUUUACAUACAAUAAGGAGCGUGUUACUUAAAGCAAGGGUUGGCAAACCAUAGCCUUGGGCCAAAUCUGGCUGCUGCCUAUUUUUGUAAAUAAAGUUUUAUUGGAACACAGCCGUACUCAUCCAUUUAUGUAUCAUCUCUGGCUGCUUUUGUGCUACAGUGGCAGAGCUGAGUAGUUGUGACAGAGACUGUAAGACCCACAGUGAAGAAUGUAUUUACUAAAAUGUAUUUUUUUGUGCAAAUACAGAUUUACUUAAGAGAGGAACAAUGAUGGGGAAUAGGGGAUUCUGCAGGAUUUCUUUGGCCACCCUUAACGUAUCCGCCUUGAAAAUCUGUAUGUUUAUACUUUGAAUCUGCUUAAAGUCACAUCUCUCCUAUAGAAGCGGAGAUAUUGAUUAAAAGAAGUCUAACAAAAACAACUGAUCUAUAGGAUUUGUGUAGCCUCAAGGUAGACUGUUUAGUUCAACCUCCUCAUUUUGACUUCCUGGACUUAAUGUGAAUUGGAGGCAUUAUUAAGUUGGGAGGAUUGAGUAGGCAAUAAACAUACUCUCAGAAUAAGGAAAAGAGCUAUCUAUCAUUGUACUGAAGGUCCAUCGCUCCCAGAUGGUCCCGGUGCUGUGCUUCUUAUUUGAUUAGCAAUGAGGAUACGAUUAGUUGGGCUUUCUCUCUUGAUGUGUGAAGUCCUCCCAGCUCCUACACAAGAGAUAUGGUAGCUGAAUUUAAGUAGCACACACAACAGCUUAUUUAUUUACCUUAGUAUAGUAUAUAAAAAGGCAUUAUUUCUCUAUUGAGGAAGUCAUCCUCAAUGAUGAUGCAUGCUUUUCUCCUAACUUUUUUGCCUUUUAAAGUUUUCUAGGGAAAUAAAGAUUUAGAAAUUUGGUCAUCGAACUUCUACUUGAAUAUUUCGACUGGCUUUGAAAAAGACUCCUCUUCCAAAAAUUUUUCAUACCUCUUGAAAAUCCGCUUCAAGGGAUUUAUACAGGGAAAUAAUCAUGCAUGUUCAAACCUUCAGUUACAAAGAUGUUCAUCAAAACACUAUUUACAGCAAUGAAAAAUGUCAAAGAAUUUAAACCUAAAUUUGAAGCAACAAUGGAGAAUUGGUUAAAUAAUUUACAGUGCUUCCAUACUGUGAGCUUAUCAAAGAAUAUUUGAUGACAUGGAAAGAUGCUCUUAAUAUAUUUUUAAGUGAGGAAAAAGCAGAAAACCCCACCUUAUGCAUAGUGUAGAAUAAGCAGCACACUCUCAGAAAAACAGGUGAAAGUUUUAGGUGAUUUUUUAUAUUUUUUUCUUAUCUCUAUUUUCUAUUAUGUUUUCAAAGAAUAUUUUUGUAAUAAUAAGAAAAAAACAGUUAAAAUGAGCAGACUGCCCUUUCAAAUAUUUUCAUUUAGAAUUGAGGAUUGUUAGUUGAUAUGAAAAUAACUUUUUCUUUUGCUUCCUAGAGAAAUUAAUAAAGUACUUAAAUUGCUGCUCGCCAGGAGAGUAGAUUUAGACAAGUCACUUUCUUUCCCGAGCCUUGGUUUCUUCAUCCGGAAACAAGAGCAUUGAAUUCAUUGAGUCUCUAAGUUCCUAGUCACCCAUGAUAUUCUGAGUUUUCUGGGCUAGUGUUCGGAGCAGCCUAUUCGGCGAGCUAACUCACUCACCAAGAACAGCGCACUCAAAGGAGGAUGCCUUAGUUGUGGAGGCUGGUUCCAGGCACCCCCCAGCCUUUGCACCCUGUGGAAGGCCCGCUGGCGAGGGAACCCCACACCUGGGGGCCUUGGGUCAAGUUGGCUCUUUUAUGAAUGGGGUUUCUUUAAUCCUCUUCGUCUUGAUCAAGCUGUGACAAUGCAUUUUCUUAGGGAAAAUAUUCUACUUUUAAAUUUAAUUUGUACUAAUUUGCCCCAGGCAGAGAGCCUGCAAUAAACUUGGUGUCAAUUUCACGUUUGGCCAAAGUUUGUGAAGUGUUUUGCUUUGUUUUAGAACAAUUUACCAUUCGUCUGUGGGAGUGGUGGGGAGAAUCAACAGCCUGGCAAGUAGUUUUCACAAAAUGUAAGUCCUGAGUAUUAUAUCUGGCCUCUAUCAAUUUUAUUGUCUUGACUCAAGUUUAAUGGGGCCACCCUUUUCUCUCUCUGCUUCUCUCUUUCUCUUUGUCCCUCACCUGCAUCCCAACAUCCCCUGGACCUGCCAGGGAUCAAAGACAUCCCCUUGUCACAUGUUGAACUGUUUCCCCAAUAAGGUUUUCAAGCUCCUUAAGGAUAGGCAUUGUGAUUUUGCUCAUUUUGUAUCCUGUUCAUAUCCUGUCCAGUGUUACAUAAAGUGACGAAUAAGGGCUUUCAAUUUGAAUUAAAGAGCAUUGCAUCAACCCCUCUCAGAUGCAACCCUGUUUACUGAAGGCAGGGUCUUUCCAAUCAUGUUGUACUUUUUACCAUCACAAGUUCUUCUUUUGCUUGAAAUUAUAAUCAGACAGGCACAAGACAGGAUGUGCUUUGGUGCAUUAAUUUGCUGGGACAUUCUUGAUGUAGGAGCAUGGGUAUUGAGAAAAACAAUUCCUAGGACUGUUCAUUCAUUCAUUCAUUCAACAAAUACUUAUUAUUAUUCAUGGCACUGUCUGAGGCAGCACAGUCAGAGCAGAGUGAGACCUUUUGAUGUCUAUGGUGUAGGCAUAAAGAUGGGGAGGGAGAUAAAAAAAGAGAGAGGUGAUACAUAGACUUUAUGGUACAUCUUUCCAUCCAUUUAUCCAUCCAGCCAACAAAUAUUAAUUGAUAGCCUACUAAAUUCCCAGCAUUGUUAUAGCCAUUGGGGGCAUAGUGUGAUUAAGACAUGCAAAGUUACCUGCUUUCUAGAAGGUAGAGCUUAUAAUAUAGUGGUAGACACAGAUAAACAAUGAGGAAAUAAAUAAAUACUAUAAUUUCAAAUGAGGAAAGAAAAUACUAUGAAGAAAAAUAACAUAGGAUAAGGGGAUGGAGGCUGAUGGGGACAUCAGGAAAGGCUCUAUGAGGAGGUGGCAUAAAGAGAGAACUGGAAUGGGGUGAAGAUGCAAGGGGAAGAGCACUGGACUGAGAGUCAGGCCAUGUUCUCAUUUUAACUCUGCCACUAACUGUGCAACAUGGACCAAGUCCCCCAGCAUCCCUCCGUCACCUGAUUAUUGAUGAAAUAAAAUGAUGUAUGUGACUGUAACAUUCAAGAAUAAUGUAUUAUUAUUAAUAAUGUUACAACCUGUUGCAUGAUUUGCAUUUAAAGGACCUAUUGAAGAAUUGUGCAUGGAGGAAUUUCAGUAUUUGCUGCUAGCUCAUGUAGACAGCCAAGCCCAACCUUUCUGGAGUCCUACAAAUCUCCAAGGAGAAACACACAGAAAACACAGAGAAUGAUAAAAAGGAGGAUGCAUUUAGUCUCUUCAUUGAAUGGAGUGUGUUAGUGUGGGUAUGUGGGAUCCUCUGAAUGAGACACAGACAACUGACAGUGUUUUCCAAUGCACAAUAAAACAGUUUAUUUAAAAAGAACGCAUUCAGUACCGUGUUUGGCACACGAGGCAAUGAGGCAGGCACAUUCACACUUAACAGGUACAUUUGGGGAGCUGUCGAAGCAAAUCAUUGCAUUGUCUUCACAAACUAUAGUCACAAUAUACACGAGAUUACCUCUACAAAAGAAAGAUGGUCAUCCUUGUUCACCAAGAAGGCAGAAGAUAUUUACAUGUUCCUCAGUUCAGCAAUGCUGGCUUCUUUCAGGUCUCCAUGGCCCUGUCAGUCUGGCAGCUUGUUUUCAAGGGCAGCUGAGGCUGCCUCUCACAAGGGAUGUGAGUCUAAUUCCUAAGGGCCGUAGCCUCUUCCAAAGAGCGAGAGUGCUUCUGAUGGAGUUGCGGAGGAGUGAAGUCUUCAGUGCCAGUCUCUCAGCAUAAAAUGGCAUUUUCCAAAACAAAUGCAUCAAGCGUGUGGGGGGAGGGCUCCAUGACUAUAAGAACAUAAGAAGCAUUUAUUUUCCCUGACACAUGCUUCUUGCCAUUUCUUCAAUAAUUUACAUUCACUGUUCUCUCGCCUUUUGACCUAUUGGUUUCAUCACUACUCUAUAGAAAGCUUUGUUCCUCACUCUACAUUGACAUACCAUUCUUUAAAAUGAUGCUAAAAUAAAAUGGUGAAACCAAGUAAGUUAAGUGAGAGAAGAUAUCACAAAAUUCUUUUGUCUUGACUUCUGAUUUAUGCCUUCACAAUGGAUUGUCAACUUCCCAUGUAAAGAAUGGAGGCAGUAUGGUGCGGUGUAGUAGAAUCAGUGGCUCGGAGACCCAGACUCAAUUCCAGUUAACUAGCUGGGCAGAUAAGUCACUUCCUCCUUUCUGAACCUCAGUGUCUCAUCUCCACACUGAGGAUCUUGAUCUGGAAUCUAGACCUGAGAUAAUGUCUAGAUCUGUGAAGUUCUGCUAUGGACUUAGGUGACUGUCCUAUGUGAGUAAACAAUGCCACAUUGUGAUAUUUCAGUAUUUUUGUUCUAUGUCCUGGGAGAAUUUCAGUGUUAAUUGAUGAUGCUUGGUGACUGGAUCUCAACCCAUCAAUAAACCCCUCCCAGAGCUCUGGUCUGUAAGGCUACUUUUCUGCAUAGUAAGAGCUCAGAUCUGGAUCUUGAAAUGUGGUUAAAGAGCAUUUCUGACAUGGAGACAAAUUAUUCCAAGUCUUGAAAAAUGGUCUAGAUUCCAGAUUUCAGUGGGAAACCUCCCCUUCCCUUUUGCAAGUACUUCAUUGACUUCAUUCCACCUUCACACAUUGACCGAUCCUUUCUCCCAUUAUCUACCAAUUUUUUCCCUACCUCCCUAGCUAAAAAUGUUGUAGGAGUGGCUGGUUCCCCAAGGCUGGUUUUGCUGUGAAUUUGUUCAUAAUAAGAUGGGGCCUACUGUCAAGUCCCUUCUGCUUGUAGCUAUGGACUUCUCUCUUUGGUGUCCAGCAAAGAGCCAGAGGAUGAAGGCCUAUUUUGUGCCCAGGCUACAUGCAAUUUGUUGUGAAUACAGGAAAACAUCUGAACGUGUAUCUGACUCAUUUAAAACAAUAUGUAGCUUAUUCAGUAUAGAGAAACAAGCUCAUUUCGAUGACUGUUAAGAAGAACACAAAAGAGAGGUGGUAUACCCUGGCCUUUUAAACACCAUACACAGAAAAUGUCCAAGUUGAGUUUCAAACAUUUACAGUCUCGAAAUGCCUUACAGAACCUGUAGGAUAUUUUACCACAGCAGAGAAAGUAGAUUUGGUCCUUCAUGAUCUAAUUUUGAUUUACUGCUCACUGAAUGAGAACCUAUGGCCACUUAUUGUAUCUGAAGAAUUAAGUGCAUUUUUUCCCAGCAUUGCCUUCCAAAGGAUUUAAUUAAGCCCACCUAAGAAUGACUUCCAUCAGAAAAACCUUUAAUUUACCAACAAAGCUUGUUCUGUGGCUCACCAGGGUAUCCGAUUUCUAAACAGUAGUGAACAGCUGGUGGUGAGGAAGAAAGAAAGUUGCCCUACUGCUCACUGCCCAGGGGACUGCGGUGGCCAAAUGUUUGUGGGUAGGUUUUUUUUCAGAGUCCAGCCUUACACUAGCUUCGCUAAGGGCAAGGCAUCACAUGAUGCCUUCCUCGACAAAGUUUGCCUGGUAGUGUUCUUAUCUAGUGGUGUUUCUUCCCAUUAGGAACUUCUCUGAGGGCAAGUAAAGCCCAGCUAAGUACCUACUCAAACCCUGGGCAUGAGGCUUAGCUGGGUAGAGACGUUUGAACUAUGGAGCUUCCCCAGGUGCGGUGGGGCCAGGUAAGCUUAUUGGAUGUCUUUCUCUUCCCCUGCUCCUUUAUGGGCACUGAUUUCUGGAUGCCUGUGAAUUUUGUGCUGUCAAAAGGCCGAGGAGCAAGUGGACAGGGAAAAUUAGAGAACUGGGGAAACAGGCAAUGGACUAUAGGAUAUGAAAAAAGAUCAGCCAACAUGGUUUCAACUGGCAGUUUAAUUGAAGAAUUUUGACCUAGAAGGUCACCCUUAGAAAUUAGACAAGCCAUGGCUAGUAAUCUCCUAAGGUACUGAGGAGUCUGUUGAGAGGUUCCUAAAAGUCACAUGGCUAGGAAAUAUUUUGAACACCUUAGGGUCCUUAGCCUCAAGGACCCAGUAACAUACUAAAAAUCAGUAGAACUAACUAAAGUAUAAAUGCCUCCUUGGGAGGAGGGGGCACUUGGGAGUCCCUCCAAAGCUGCUGCUCGCCUCUUCUAUUUGGUACUCACUGAUUCAGAAAUUGUUCAGGCAGUGCUGUGCUGGAGCCAGCUCAUACUGGCUCUUGAAAACAUUUUGUUACAUUUUCAGCUGGUUGACAUCAAGUUAGUAGCUUUAAAUUGGCUACAAUGAGAGUACACCGUGGAAAUUGGCAAGGGCUACAAAUCGGGGCUCCACUCUUCUCCAGAGCCAGUUGUUAAACAUUUAGCAGCACACAAAAGAGCUAAAAUUGUCUCUGAAUCCCAGAGAAGGGAAAUCAAAGGAGCCCUUUAGUAUCUCUGAUGAUGAAAGACAUGAGCACAGCUAUAGAAAGCAGCCUGGCCAAAACUUCAUUAGAAUGGUGGCAUCUUAUUCAACAGAGGCUGGCACAAGGCAGCCAGUGCCAACUGACCACCUCUCUCAUACUCACUUGGUCUUGGAAUUUUAGUUUCUUGAAUUUGCUUUUUUGAUCGGUUUCAUUUUAACCUGAGGACCUUUGCAUUUGGGGCAUUACUUGGAGGUUGAGAAAUAAGACCCCUUUAGGAAUAUUUUAGGCUCUGG
This 11873-nucleotide long non-coding RNA is filed under the name Equus caballus (horse). RNAcentral's name for it is "lncRNA (ENSECAG00000049305.1)". Lineage: Eukaryota; Metazoa; Chordata; Mammalia; Perissodactyla; Equidae. The record is from RNAcentral.